This is a long non-coding RNA of Drosophila navojoa, 280 nucleotides long. Lineage: Eukaryota; Metazoa; Arthropoda; Insecta; Diptera; Drosophilidae. The record is from RefSeq and is a predicted model, not a curated record.
UUGUGAUUGUGUUCAAAAUACAGGGUUUUGUUUUGCCUAUUUAAUAUUACAAAAUACAACUCAGAGAUAGUUAUGCCCGCUAAGUUUCGACACGCCAGCAGCUGUUCGUGCGCCCGGUCUGGCAUUCGUUAUUAAUUAAAUCAGCAGCCGCAGCGGCAGCCGUAACAACAGCUGAGUGCGACCGAGCCAACGAGUGGGAAUGAGAGGGCAACAAAAGCAGCACCACCAGCAGCAGCAGCCCACAUUUGAGUUAUACAGCCAACAACAACAUCAACGACAA